AGCGAGUCUGAAUAGGGCGCAUAGUUAGUAGGAUUAGACGCGAAACCUUGUGAUCUACCCAUGGGCAGGUUGAAGCUCUGGUAACACAGAGUGGAGGACCGAACCGGUUGACGUUGAAAAGUCUUCGGAUGACCUGUGGGUAGGGGUGAAAGGCCAAUCAAACUGGGAGAUAGCUCGUACUCCCCGAAAUGCAUUUAGGUGCAGCGUUGCGACAAGUUUAUUAGAGGUAGAGCUACUGAUUGGAUGCGGGGGUUUCAUCGCCUACCAAUUCCUGACAAACUCCGAAUGCUAAUAAAUGUUUCGCAGCAGUGAGGGCAUGGGUGCUAAGGUCCAUGUCCGAGAGGGAAAGAACCCAGACCAACAGCUAAGGUCCCCAAAUAUAUGUUAAGUUGAAGCAACGCGGUUGGACUGCAUUGACAGCUAGGAUGUUGGCUUGGAAGCAGCCAUCCUUGAAAGAGUGCGUAAUAGCUCACUGGUCGAGUGGUUGUGCGCCGACAAUGUAGUGGGGCUGAAGUGCACCGCCGAAGCCGCGGAAACCAUGCUUGUUUGUGUGUGGUUUGGUAGGGGAGCGUCGUGUGCUCGUGGAAGCUGCUGGGUGACUGGUGGUGGAGGGUAUGCGAGUGAGAAUGCAGGCAUGAGUAGCGAAUGACAAGUGAGAAUCUUGUCCGCCGGAUGACUAAGGGUUCCUGGGUUAAGCUUUUCUUCCCAGGGUGAGUCGGGACCUAAGGCGAGGCCGACAGGCGUAGUCGAUGGAUAACGGGUUGAUAUUCCCGUACCCGUGCAUGCGCGCCCAUGGUGAAUCAGUGAUACUAACCGCCCUGAAGCACGCGUGAUGGUCUUUGGAUUGUUGUGUGUGUGGAUGCGUGGGGCCUGAUCUGGUAGUAGUCAAGUGAUGGGGUGACGCAGUGUGGUAGCCGAGCCACUGAGUGGAUUGUGGUGUAAGCGUGUAGCCCGGCAUCUAGGUAAAUCCGGAUGCCAUGAGGGGUGAGGCGUGAUGCGUACCCGUUGUGGGGAUGUUGGUGAUCCAUUGCUGUCGAGAAAAGCCUCUAGCGAUGUGUGUGUGCGGCCCGUACCCGAAACCGACACAGGUGGUCAGGUAGAGAAUACUAAGG
This 1112-nucleotide ribosomal RNA is filed under the name Escherichia coli. RNAcentral's name for it is "partial 23S ribosomal RNA". It matches the Rfam family "Bacterial large subunit ribosomal RNA", at positions 676 to 1686 of the family's 2925-position model. The record is from RNAcentral. Lineage: Bacteria; Pseudomonadati; Pseudomonadota; Gammaproteobacteria; Enterobacterales; Enterobacteriaceae.